This 465-nucleotide ribosomal RNA is filed under the name uncultured bacterium. Its description in RNAcentral is "partial 16S ribosomal RNA". It matches the Rfam family "Bacterial small subunit ribosomal RNA", at positions 28 to 507 of the family's 1533-position model. The record is from RNAcentral.
GACGAACGCUGGCGGCGUGCUUAACACAUGCAAGUCGAACGGAAAGGCCCCUUUGGGGGUCCUCGAGUGGCGAACGGGUGAGUAACACGUGAGUAACCUGCCCUUGACUUCGGGAUAACUUCAGGAAACUGGGGCUAAUACCGGAUAGGAAUCCUUGCUGCAUGGUGGGGGUUGGAAAGCUUCGGCGGUUUUGGAUGGACUCGCGGCUUAUCAGCUUGUUGGUGGGGUAGUGGCUUACCAAGGCUUUGACGGGUAGCCGGCCUGAGAGGGCGACCGGCCACAUUGGGACUGAGAUACGGCCCAGACUCCUACGGGAGGCAGCAGUGGGGAAUAUUGCACAAUGGGCGGAAGCCUGAUGCAGCAACGCCGCGUGCGGGAUGACGGCCUUCGGGUUGUAAACCGCUUUCAGCAGGGGCGAAGCUUGUGGUGACGGUACCUUCAGAAGAAGCACCGGCUAACUACGUG